UACAUGGGGUGCAAACGUUGCUCGGAAUUAUUGGGCGUAAAGCGCACGUAGGCGGUCCGUUAAGUCAGAUGUGAAAGCCCCCGGCUCAACCGGGGAAGUGCAUCUGAAACUGGCGGGCUAGAGUACGAAAGAGGGUCGCGGAAUUCCCGGUGUAGAGGUGAAAUUCGUAGAUAUCGGGAGGAACACCAGUGGCGAAGGCGGCGAUCUGGGAAGAUACUGACGCUGAGGUGCGAAAGCGUGGGGAGCAAACAGG
Molecule: ribosomal RNA, 253 nt
Filed under: uncultured bacterium
Lineage: Bacteria
Description: partial 16S ribosomal RNA
Rfam family: Bacterial small subunit ribosomal RNA
Source: RNAcentral